RNAcentral lists this ribosomal RNA (253 nucleotides) under uncultured bacterium. RNAcentral's name for it is "partial 16S ribosomal RNA". It matches the Rfam family "Bacterial small subunit ribosomal RNA", at positions 524 to 776 of the family's 1533-position model. The record is from RNAcentral.
UACGUAGGGUGCGAGCGUUAAUCGGAAUUACUGGGCGUAAAGCGUGCGCAGGCGGUUCGCCAAGUCAGGUGUGAAAUCCCCGGGCUUAACCUGGGAAUUGCGCUUGAAACUAGCGGGCUUGAGUGUGGCAGAGGGGGGUGGAAUUCCACGUGUAGCAGUGAAAUGCGUAGAGAUGUGGAGGAACACCGAUGGCGAAGGCAGCCUUCUGGGCCAACACUGACGCUCAUGCACGAAAGCGUGGGGAGCAAACAGG